AGUGAACGCUGGCGGUAGGCCUAACACAUGCAAGUCGAACGGCAGCACAGUAAGAGCUUGCUCUUACGGGUGGCGAGUGGCGGAUGGGUGAGGAAUACAUCGGAACCUACUUUUUCGUGGGGGAUAACGUAGGGAAACUUACGCUAAUACCGCAUACGACCUACGGGUGAAAGCAGGGGAUCUUCGGACCUUGCGCGAUUGACUGAGCCGAUGUCGGAUUAGCUAGUUGGCGGGGUAAAGGCCCACCAAGGCGACGAUCCGUAGCUGGUCUGAGAGGAUGAUCAGCCACACUGGAACUGAGACACGGUCCAGACUCCUACGGGAGGCAGCAGUGGGGAAUAUUGGACAAUGGGCGCAAGCCUGAUCCAGCCAUACCGCGUGGGUGAAGAAGGCCUUCGGGUUGUAAAGCCCUUUUGUUGGGAAAGAAAAGCAGCAGGUUAAUACCCCGCUGUGCUGACGGUACCCAAAGAAGAAGCACCGGCUAACUUCGUG
This 492-nucleotide ribosomal RNA is filed under the name uncultured bacterium. RNAcentral describes it as "partial 16S ribosomal RNA". It matches the Rfam family "Bacterial small subunit ribosomal RNA", at positions 29 to 507 of the family's 1533-position model. The record is from RNAcentral.